RNAcentral lists this ribosomal RNA (92 nucleotides) under Vibrio parahaemolyticus. RNAcentral describes it as "partial 23S ribosomal RNA". Lineage: Bacteria; Pseudomonadati; Pseudomonadota; Gammaproteobacteria; Vibrionales; Vibrionaceae. The record is from RNAcentral.
GUUGAUAGGUCAGGUGUGUAAGUGCUGUGAGGCAUUGAGCUAACUGAUACUAAUUGCCCGUGAGGCUUAACCAUACAACACCCAAGGGGUUU